GAUGAACGCUGGCGGCGUGCUUAACACAUGCAAGUCGAACGGAAAGGCUCCUGCUUGCAGGGGUACUCGAGUGGCGAACGGGUGAGUAACACGUGGGUGAUCUGCCCUGCACUUCGGGAUAAGCCUGGGAAACUGGGUCUAAUACCGGAUAGGACGAUGGUUUGGAUGCCAUUGUGGAAAGUUUUUCGGUGUGGGAUGAGCUCGCGGCCUAUCAGCUUGUUGGUGGGGUAAUGGCCUACCAAGGCGUCGACGGGUAGCCGGCCUGAGAGGGUGUACGGCCAAAAUGGGAAUGAGGUAAGGGCCAGACUCCUACGGGAGGCAGCAGUGGGGAAUAUUGCACAAUGGGCGCAAGCCUGAUGCAGCGACGCCGCGUGGGGGAUGACGGCCUUCGGGUUGUAAACUCCUUUCGUCAGGGACGAAGCGAAAGUGACGGUACCUGGAGAAGAAGCACCGGCUAACUACGUG
Molecule: ribosomal RNA, 465 nt
Filed under: uncultured bacterium
Lineage: Bacteria
Description: partial 16S ribosomal RNA
Rfam family: Bacterial small subunit ribosomal RNA
Source: RNAcentral